RNAcentral lists this ribosomal RNA (1092 nucleotides) under Triticum aestivum (bread wheat). Its description in RNAcentral is "partial small subunit ribosomal RNA". Lineage: Eukaryota; Viridiplantae; Streptophyta; Magnoliopsida; Poales; Poaceae. The record is from RNAcentral.
AUGCCGGCCUUCGCCGAGCCAGCCAUUGAUCCGCCUCUGGCGGACAGCUACCGCGCGCUGCUGCGCACCGACCAGCUCCGCCGCGGCGGCAUUGCGCCCGCGCUGUCGCCGGCGGUGCCGGAGAGCGUGGCCGUGCUGGAGCGCGACCUGCCGAUGAUCGACUUGAAGCGCCUGACGAGCGGCGACGCGGGGGAGAGGAAGGCGUGCGCGGACGCCAUGGCGCGCGCGGCGUCGGAGUGGGGCUUCUUCCAGGUGAUCAACCACGGCGUGGGGCGGGAGCUCCUGGAGGAGAUGCGGCGCGAGCAGGCGCGGCUGUUCCGCCUGCCGUUCGACACCAAGGAGAAGGCCGGGCUCCUCAACGGCUCGUACCGGUGGGGCAACCCGACGGCUACGUCGCUCCGGCACCUCUCGUGGUCGGAGGCCUUCCACGUUCCGCUCGCCAGCAUCUCCCGGGAGGACUGCGACUACGGAAAGCUCAGCUCCUUGAGGGCCGUGAUGCAGGAGGUGGCGGACGCGAUGUCGCGCGUGGCGGACACGGUGGCGGCGGCGCUGGCGGAGGACCUCGGGCACGAUGCGUGGGGCGGCGAGCCGGCGUUCCCGGCGGGGUGCGACGGGACGACGUGCUUCCUGCGGCUCAACAGGUACCCGGCAUGCCCGUUCGCGCCGGACACGUUCGGGCUGGUGCCGCACACGGACAGCGACUUCCUCACCAUCCUCUGCCAGGACCAGGUCGGGGGCCUGCAGCUCAUGAAGGACUCCCGCUGGGUCGCCGUGAAACCCCGCCCCGACGCGCUCAUCGUCAACAUCGGCGAUCUGUUUCAGGCGUGGAGCAACAACAGGUACAAGAGCGUGGAGCACAAAGUGGUGGCCAACGCCAAGGCGGAGCGCCUCUCCGUCGCCUACUUCCUGUGCCCGUCGUACGACUCGCUGGUCGGCACAUGCGGCGAGCCGUCGCCGUACAGGCCGUUUACCUUCGGGGAGUACCGGAGGAAGGUGCAGGACGAUGUCAAGAGAACCGGCAAAAAAAUUGGGCUCCCCAACUUUCUCAAACAGUCUCCCGUUGACGCCAUGAAUCACAGCCUCUGUACUUAA